This is a long non-coding RNA of Bubalus bubalis (water buffalo), 1875 nucleotides long. RefSeq lists it as uncharacterized. The record is from RefSeq and is a predicted model, not a curated record. The transcript is spliced from 2 exons. Lineage: Eukaryota; Metazoa; Chordata; Mammalia; Artiodactyla; Bovidae.
AUGGACCAUAGCCUUCCAGGCUCCUCUGUCCAUGGGAUUUCACAGGCAAGAAUACUGGAGUGGGUUGCUGUGCCCUCCAGGGGAUCUUCCCAACCCAGGGAUCGAAGCCAGGUCUCUUACGGUUACCUUCGUUGGCAGAAAGAAAAUCAAGUCUGUGGGAGACAAGCUCUCAGGAGGACCAAGCAACAGAAAUGAUGGCAACAACUACACCUUUUAUUAGAUUCUCAAAUAGAAUCAGACCACAUGAAACUGGAAGUCAUACAGAGAGACAAAUUACAUCUGGUCACAUUUGGGUGGGAAUCGAACUUUUCAGCUUCAGCUCUUGACCCUGUGUAGUUCUGUGAAAUCUCAUUUUCAGGCUCUGUUAGGGCAGCCCCUCGUUCUGAUUGUGUUUCUGAAAUAAGCACUCUGAGCUGGUCCUCUUCACUAAUGCCUCCUUCCCUCUCAGAGAAUUGUAUAAAGAAGGGGGAGCAAGUGAGCCAGUUAGGACCCACUCUCAUUAUCUUUUGAUUAUAGAAGUAACAUAUGGUCAUAGAUAAACAAACCAAAAAAAACCUUAAAAGUACAGGAAUGUAUAAAGAAAAGGGAAAUUACCUGGAAAUCCAUCUCCUCAACCCUAUUCUUUUCCUUUUAAAGAUUGUGGCUGAUGUCAAAGAAUCUCUUCUCCUCACCCUCUUGAUUCUUUUCCUUCUAAUUUGUUUUUAUUUUGAUGUGAAAGAAAUUCUAACCUAAUGGUUAUGGUGGUGGGGGAGGGUGGUUUUGGCUUCUACAGAAUAUGGCUGCAUGAAAUAAAGGUCAGGGCUUGAAAAUACCAAUUGUUCAUUCUUAUUUUAAAAGGGUAAACUGUAAGGCAGGGAAUAAGAUUUUAGGUACUCAUAUCCUAAUCCAGCUGUGUUUACAUGUGUUAGGGGGAUGGAUAGACAAGCGGUACAGUCGAAAUAAGACCAUUUUUGCAAAACUGCUUUGUUAACUAACAAGCUCUACAAAUAUGAGAUUAGCAUGAAUGUUGGUGCUGACUCCGGGGGAUGGUCUUGUGUGUUUAUCUGAACAGUUAGUAUCUGUCAGUGGGCCAUAGCACAAGCGACUGGCCAAAUGAUAUCCUGUGUCUCAGAUGUUCCAUCUAUUUGCAAUUCCAAAGCUUAUUUAAUUGCCUUCAGCUGCUUAAUAUAUACCUCAUCAGUAGGAUAGAGAAGCAGAACUUAGCCUUAGAGGAUAAAGGUCAGAACAAGUGUAGCUUACUACUGAUAUGCCCUGUUAAAUAGCCCACUCGAUGCAGGGAAUUGAAGAAGCAUACAAGAAAGCAUUACCCAGUACUGCCUUAAGUACAAUAGAGUGAGUGGCAGCACUCUAUAAACUGUUAAGCUGGGUAAUAAUGCAAAGGAUCGAUGUCAUCAUGACUGGGGAGAUUGGCUGUCACUCAGCGACUUAGCUGUGAUAUGCUUCCAGGCAAUUCCACAGGGCUUUUAUAAGCCCCUUUUCUGUACAUGUGCUAGAAAGUGCCACAGAAAUACAGUCUCCUGAUGACUGUAGAAGCCAGGCAGCAAAAUUUAAUCAGACAUUUGUCAAGAAGAUGGCAGAUAAUGACCAAUUUUUGGUAGACAGAUAGUUGUCUGCAGAAACAAAGCCUGUAUUGAACUAUUUUGGAGUGGGAAGAAGCAUUGCUAUGACAACAAAUUACUUAUAUUUGAUUUAGAAGAAGGAGAGGAGUGCAGCUUAAUGGUUUAGAAAGCUCGUGAGAACAAUUGUUGGCACUGGGUAUAUGUUAAAAUAUAAAAUGUUAAGUAUGAUCUGUUAAAUAAUUGAGCAUCUCAGUGCAUUCUGUUUCCAAUAUCUCUUGUGAACCAAUAAAAUACAACAUAAAUCAACUUCUAAAAA